AUUGAACGCUGGCGGCGUGCCUAACACAUGCAAGUCGAGCGGUAACAGGUGUAGCAAUACAUGCUGACGAGCGGCGAACGGGUGAGUAAUGCUUCGGAAUCUGCCCAUGUAGUGGGGAAUAACCAGCCGAAAGGUUGGCUAAUACCGCAUACGACCUACGGGUGAAAGCAGGGGAUCGCAAGACCUUGCGCUAUUGGAUGAGCCGAAGUCGGAUUAGCNGUUGGUAGGGUAACGGCCUACCAAGGCGACGAUCCGUAGCUGGUCUGAGAGGACGACCAGCCACACUGGGACUGAGACACGGCCCAGACUCCUACGGGAGGCAGCAGUGGGGAAUAUUGGACAAUGGGGCGAACCCUCGAUCCACGCGACGCCGCGUGUGUGAAGAAGGCCUGCGGGUUGUAAAG
Molecule: ribosomal RNA, 404 nt
Filed under: uncultured bacterium
Lineage: Bacteria
Description: bacterial SSU rRNA
Rfam family: Bacterial small subunit ribosomal RNA
Source: RNAcentral